This 1702-nucleotide long non-coding RNA is filed under the name Aquilegia coerulea. RNAcentral describes it as "long non-coding RNA (ACOE_LNC001105)". The record is from RNAcentral. Lineage: Eukaryota; Viridiplantae; Streptophyta; Magnoliopsida; Ranunculales; Ranunculaceae.
UGACAAGGGAAAAUUUGCAUCUGAGUUCCUGCUGGUUUGUUCAACUAAGCAGUGUAGAUGUUGCUAUUACUGCUUUAAAAAAUCUUGGGAACUGUCCAGGCAUGUUCUUCCAGAUAGAAUUCAGGUAUGAACAACCACUCAUGGAAUUUUAUUAUAAGAAGUGUAGGUACAAGAAGGCAUGAAAAUGACUUCCUCAACAUUAAUUUACUUGUAACAAGUUGUGGGUGGGUGUUUCUAUUUAUGGAAGUUCCGCACUCGGUGGGUUAACAUAGUCUAUGAAACUGAAUUUGCCUGAUUAUCUGUACAGAUUGGAGGUAACAAGGUUGAAGGACUUCAUGAUAAAUAAGUGAGCACUAUAUGGACCAUGACAAACAAGCUUAAGGUAAAACAAUCAUCUCCGACGACUAUGGUAAUUUACCUCAAACACUUGCUUGCAAAAAUAUGUAUAUACUAAUCUUUUUUUUUUUUUUUUUUUUUUGUAUAUCUCAACUUUUUAUUGACAUAAAUAAAUCUUGUCCAGCUUGAGGUUUUAAUUUUUAGUCAAAGCAUUUGGAUUUAAAUAAAAAGGACAUACUCAAUAUCAUGUUUUUCAUAUUGAGUUUACUUUAUAACAUUUGCAAAAUUCUUCCUUCAAUCCGAAAUGGUUUUUUUUUUUUGUUUGAAGGUUUUGUUGGGUCAGGGGUUUGGAGAAUUGUGUCAAAGUAAUUUUGUAAUGACAAAGACCCCCACUCAUGUGGCCAAGUAUACUGAGAAUUUUCUUUAUCAUGCACCAAUCCGGUGGUUGAUAAGAUGAGAUCUGAAAUCCAUGAUAUUAUCAUAGAUUUGAGUCCCCAAGUAAUCAAACAAUAUGGAGUCCUUAAUUAAACAGUUUAAUGAGUGAGUUAGCUUAAGAAGUUCGAGGUUUACACUGGAGGCAACUUUCAUCAGUCAUCACACAAGAACUAUCUGGAAUAUAAUAUGGUCUGCUCGCAAAUAACAAAAACCUCAAUAUAAUGAUAUGAUUGACUUGAGAUUGUCUUAGUGGGUGGCUUGGGUAUGGAUGUACCACAUGAGUAUCCCACUGCAACACCCAAUGUAAGUCCAUCACCUUCUUUUUUACUGUGAUCUUACUAAGUCAGUUUAGGCAAAAUUAAGAUAAGAUUUGAUUGAUUGCAAUCAGUUGUUAUAUAUUAAAAGUUUUAAACAAUUAUAGAACAAUUGAUAAUUACAUGGACAACACACGAGGGAGAUAACUUGGGUUAUAGAAUCUGGAAGCACCUACCUUAUGCGACCCCUUGGAUCGCCUGAAGAUCUCAGAACAACCAAAUUUUCAGAGAUGUUGAGGCUGAUAAAAAUGCCAUUAUUAUUAACAUAAUAAAAUGACAUAGUGGAGAGAUUUUGAGACUUUUCCAAAUUUUCAAUAUAGAAUUUCUUGUGAGACCAUUACCAAAUUUUCUUUAUUAAAAUCAUCAAUAUGAAGUUUGUUUCUUUCGACAUGAUCCAUAUGAUGUGGAUUACCAGAUUGCACUUUUUAAUAAUAUAUUGAACAAUUUAGUUACAAAUUAGUCAGUGAAUGUUAGUCUAGAUUGGUGUAUACUCAUAUUUGAAAUAAAAAUAAUAGUUUUACAGAAAGUUAUAUGUGCAUAUGUAAUCUGUUUAUGUGCAGAUUAUGCUUAUAGAGAUGGGAUCUCCUGUCCUGGAAAUUAGAAUGUCUGUAGAUGGA